This 346-nucleotide unclassified non-coding RNA is filed under the name soil metagenome. Its description in RNAcentral is "partial contains 5.8S ribosomal RNA, internal transcribed spacer 2, and large subunit ribosomal RNA". The stretch from base 1 to 120 matches the Rfam family "5.8S ribosomal RNA", at positions 35 to 154 of the family's 154-position model. The record is from RNAcentral.
GAUGAAGAACGUAGCGAAAUGCGAUAAGUAAUGCGAAUUGCAGAAUUCCGUGAGUCAUCGAAUCUUUGAACGCACAUUGCGCCCCCUGGUAUUCCGGGGGGCAUGCCUGUCCGAGCGUCAUUGCUGCCCAUCAAGCACGGCUUGUGUGUUGGGUCCCGUCCCCCUCUCCCGGGGGACGGACCCGAAAGGCAGCGGCGGCACCGCGUCCGGUCCUCGAGCGUAUGGGGCUUUGUCACCCGCUCUUGUAGGCCCGGCCGGCGCUUGCCGACACCCAACCAUUUUUUUCAGGUUGACCUCGGAUCAGGUAGGGAUACCCGCUGAACUUAAGCAUAUCAAAAGCGGAGGA